AGCUCCAAGAGCGUAUAUUAAAGUUGUUGCAGUUAAAAAGCUCGUAGUUGGAUUUCUGGUACAAUGCGCCUGGCCCGCGGCAGUAAUGCCUGUGAGUGCCGGUGCGCGUUUGCCAUCCUUCUAGAAAACGUUUCUACCCUUUACUGGGCCGGACUCGCGAUCUAGAUCUUUUACUUUGAAAAAAUUAGAGUGUUCAAAGCAGGCUUUUGCUGUGAAUACAUUAGCAUGGAAUAAUAAUCUAGGACUUCGGUUUUAUUUUGUUGGUUUCUAACACUGAAGUAAUGAUUGAUAGGGAUAGUUGGGGGUGCUAGUAUUGGCCGGCCAGAGGUGAAAUUCUUGGAUUCGGUCAAGACUAACUUAUGCGAAAGCAUUCACCAAGGAUGUCUUCU
RNAcentral lists this ribosomal RNA (389 nucleotides) under uncultured eukaryote. RNAcentral describes it as "SSU rRNA". It matches the Rfam family "Eukaryotic small subunit ribosomal RNA", at positions 587 to 972 of the family's 1831-position model. The record is from RNAcentral.